Long non-coding RNA from Miniopterus natalensis, 429 nucleotides. RefSeq lists it as uncharacterized. Lineage: Eukaryota; Metazoa; Chordata; Mammalia; Chiroptera; Miniopteridae. The record is from RefSeq and is a predicted model, not a curated record.
AUUCUGUGUUGUCAAUGGAGUAUUCAAGAUUAUAAACUAAAAUUGAGACAGGGCAAUGAGGUAGGAAGUUUGAGGAGAAAAGAGAAAGUAUCGUCACUUUCGAGAGUAGGAAACUAGAGAAACAAAAUUGGUUUGAUGGGCGUUAGAUGGAAUCAUGAACUAAACGCGAAUUUACUCUGCCUUGUCGGGAUUUUCUCCACCUGUGUGCAGCUAUCGGGAUACUUACUGACAAGGGAGGAGGCAGGUGCUCGAUUCUUCCAUCUUUGUCAAGCAAGCAUGCUACGUUACCAGGACUGGACUCCUGAGGACACACCAGCCAGCCCUAAAUGGUCCUGACCAAUGUGAACGGAUUAGUGAAAAUGCUAAACCAGAUGUGGACACAGGAUCAGGGCUCGGUGGAUUCUCAGGCUGUUGGGAAGGAACUUGGGA